RNAcentral lists this long non-coding RNA (815 nucleotides) under Bos taurus (domestic cattle). RNAcentral's name for it is "long non-coding RNA NONBTAT000498". Lineage: Eukaryota; Metazoa; Chordata; Mammalia; Artiodactyla; Bovidae. The record is from RNAcentral.
GGGUGGUAGGGACUCACCUAAGCUACCAGAGGACCCCAGAACUGAGACCAAGUAGCUGUUCAAAGUCAUCAUAAGGACAGUCUUUGAAAAGUCCUAAUGCAGAUGCUAAACAUUAUCCUCCAACAAUUCAGAUUAAAGGUAUAAUAGAAGCAAUGUGUAAAUGUCAUUCAAAAUUGCAUUUAGAAGAAACUUGAAUAUUCUCACAUUUACCUUUUCACCCACAGAAGCUCUUUCUUAUUGAUUACAGGAUCAAUAAAAUCUGUGGAUAAUUUAUGAAACAUUAUCAUCCUGAGCUUCAAUAAAUUUACUGUUAAGAUUGGUUAAGUGCAUAGGCAUGACAGAUAUUUGCUGCAACGCUGUUAAAACCUCAAAAUGCACAGGAACUCUAUAUGGAAUCCAAGGCUUCCUUUGCCCCUUCUUAUUCCUUUAACCCGUAAGUGUAUAUAAGGAGGAGAUACACACCCCCGGCCCCAGUGAAUCAGUUACUGUUACUCCUGAAUGGUUUAAUUGCAAAUAUUUUAAAAUAUUACUGUCCAUAACAAUGCUGUCUGCCCACUAGUUCUUGUACCUGACGCCAUCUGGCAUAAUAGGUUUAUGGAACAAGUAGAACUAGGGACUGAGACAAUUAAAUAUCAGAAGAGGUCAAAGUACAUAAGUCCUAAGCUUUUCUAUACAAAACAAACAGCAACAUAGGUGGGACAGUAGGGUGAAAGAUAGAAUUUCAUAUCAAAAUCAGAGUCCUAAAAGGGGAAAUAUAAAUAGCAUCAGUACUCAAAACAUUUGUGAAGAACAGUGAUAGCAAAUAUUUUGUACCA